GGGUUGUGAGGUUAAGCGACUAAGCGUACACGGUGGAUGCCCUGGCAGUCAGAGGCGAUGAAGGACGUGCUAAUCUGCGAAAAGCGCCGGCGAGGUGAUAUGAACCUUUGACCCGGCGAUGUCCGAAUGGGGAAACCCAGUGUGUUCCGACACACUAUCAUUAACUGAAUCCAUAGGUUAAUGAGGCGAACCGGGGGAACUGAAACAUCUAAGUACCCCGAGGAAAAGAAAUCAACCGAGAUUCCCCCAGUAGCGGCGAGCGAACGGGGAGCAGCCCAGAGCCUGAAUCAGCUUGUGUGUUAGUGGAAGCGUCUGGAAAGUCGCGCGAUACAGGGUGACAGCCCCGUACACGAAAGCACACAGGCUGUGAGCUCGAUGAGUAGGGCGGGACACGUGGUAUCCUGUCUGAAUAUGGGGGGACCAUCCUCCAAGGCUAAAUACUCCUGACUGACCGAUAGUGAACCAGUACCGUGAGGGAAAGGCGAAAAGAACCCCGGCGAGGGGAGUGAAAAAGAACCUGAAACCGUGUACGUACAAGCAGUGGGAGCACCUUCGGGUGUGACUGCGUACCUUUUGUAUAAUGGGUCAGCGACUUAUAUUCUGUAGCAAGGUUAACCGAAUAGGGGAGCCGAAGGGAAACCGAGUCUUAACUGGGCGUUAAGUUGCAGGGUAUAGACCCGAAACCCGGUGAUCUAGCCAUGGGCAGGUUGAAGGUUGGGUAACACUAACUGGAGGACCGAACCGACUAAUGUUGAAAAAUUAGCGGAUGACUUGUGGCUGGGGGUGAAAGGCCAAUCAAACCGGGAGAUAGCUGGUUCUCCCCGAAAGCUAUUUAGGUAGCGCCUCGUGAAUUCAUCUCCGGGGGUAGAGCACUGUUUCGGCUAGGGGGCCAUCCCGGCUUACCAACCCGAUGCAAACUACGAAUACCGGAGAAUGUUAUCACGGGAGACACACGGCGGGUGCUAACGUCCGUCGUGAAGAGGGAAACAACCCAGACCGCCAGCUAAGGUCCCAAAGUCAUGGUUAAGUGGGAAACGAUGUGGGAAGGCACAGACAGCCAGGAUGUUGGCUUAGAAGCAGCCAUCAUUUAAAGAAAGCGUAAUAGCUCACUGGUCGAGUCGGCCUGCGCGGAAGAUGUAACGGGGCUAAACCAUGCACCGAAGCUGCGGCAGCGACACUAUGUGUUGUUGGGUAGGGGAGCGUUCUGUAAGCCUGCGAAGGUGUGCUGUGAGGCAUGCUGGAGGUAUCAGAAG
RNAcentral lists this ribosomal RNA (1253 nucleotides) under Escherichia coli. RNAcentral's name for it is "bacterial LSU rRNA". It matches the Rfam family "Bacterial large subunit ribosomal RNA", at positions 1 to 1288 of the family's 2925-position model. Lineage: Bacteria; Pseudomonadati; Pseudomonadota; Gammaproteobacteria; Enterobacterales; Enterobacteriaceae. The record is from RNAcentral.